UUGAGAGUCUCACUUGGAGAGGAAGUAGUUGAUUUAUGCUAAUGAAGGAGUUGGGGUUUAGCUACGCUGGCUGGGAGCCGCCCUUCAUUCACCACAUGGUUGAACCCAGACUCCACUCGCGCCACUUUCGCAAUCUUACUACGAUUCCCAAACUCCUUGCAAAUCAAAAUAGGAGCACAUGGUUGGGUUUUCUGGAUUAUGCGUCCUACCUGUGACACUAUUUGUACAGUCUUUUUUUCUUUUCUCAGUUUUGCAGAUACCCAUGAAACAGUGUGAGUAAACGACCCCGGUGCACAUCUACCUCAUCUGGAAAGACCCUCAUUGUGGAUAUACAGACACCCCUAUUUGUUCUCUGAAUGCAAUCCUCCCUGAGAACAGCUUGGAAUCACUGUAGUGUCAAAGUGCUUACAGUGCAGGUAGUUUAAUAAAAUCUACUGCAGUGAAGGCACUUUCAGCACUAUUCUGAUGAUGGCAAGUAAAAGCAGGUUUAUUCACAUACACAAACAGCUUAUCCAGGAUUGACACAUGUUGGAGGACCUCAUCUCCAUGCUGCUGAUGGUUUUGGCGCCCUACAGUUCCUGUUGCAUGAAAAUAUCUCUAGCCCGACCCUUUUUAUGAAACAUGCUUGAUGUUUGUAAAGCAUCAUACAUGCUGUCACUGACAUUUCAGCAAAAAUACAAGACAUGCACAAAUCAUUGAUGAACCAGGUAUCCAGCAUCACAUCAACUAGUGCUUAUGCUAAGGUGCAUCUAGUGCAGAUAGUGAAGUAGACUAGCACCUACUGCCCUAAGUGCUCCUUCUGGCAUAAAGAGCUGGGACUCUCAUCUGCUGUGUGUUUAUGUUUAUACAGUCUGUGUGUCUAUUAAUGCAGUACACUGCAUACUGUAAUUGUGGCAGUUCUCUGUUAGUUUUGCAUAGUUGCGCUGCGAGAAAAAAAACAAGUUGUGCAAAUCUAUGCAAAACUGAUGGUGGCCUGUGUUUCCAUCUAAAUCCUCUUGGUGAACAUAUUUUCCUCCUUAAUGGUCCAACAGGUCUCAAUGCGGCCGUUUUGAAAAGGUUUCAGUAGUACUAAAGUGCUUAUAGUGCAGGUAGUUUUAUGAAAUUCUACUGCAAUGUGAGCACUUAAAGUACUCCUAGACUUAUGUUCUUCCCAGAAAACUGCAGAAGUAUCUCACGCACAUGGGUCUCUGGUUAGUUUUGCUGGUUUGCUUUCAGCUUUUCACUGUACUGCUGUGCAAAUCCAUGCAAAACUGAUCAUAGAACUGAAAAAAAUCCAGCAGAGGUGAUCCCUUUCUGUGCAGGUUGGGAGAGGUAGCAAUGCUGUAUGUGAGUGUGGUAUUGCACUUGUCCCGGCCUGUUGAGGAAAUGGGGAAUUAUUCUGCACAGGUUGUCCCUCAUCUCCAUCUAGAACUGACACAUCCUAGCUGUCUGUAUGCUGAACAUAAUUGGAUGGUGACAAGGAUUAUUACCCGUUUGUCACCAACUUUUCCCAGUUGCUUACUGUCUGAUGUAAUCAAAUGGUUACAUCUAAUAACUUUAUUUACUUAAAACAAUUGAAAUCAUGUUAUUUUAAUACAAUUCUUUCUUACUGUAGCAAAAAGUGUGUAAACCAUGCACUAUUUUUGUUUUUGAUGAAUCUUAAAUUGAAAUAAAAUUGUGCAAUUGGCUAAA
Molecule: long non-coding RNA, 1671 nt
Organism: Notolabrus celidotus (New Zealand spotty)
Lineage: Eukaryota; Metazoa; Chordata; Actinopteri; Labriformes; Labridae
Exons: 2
Source: RefSeq, a predicted model, not a curated record